UGCACGCUCCUUAGAUCCAUUUCAUUCUUAAUAUGAAAUGCUUGAGUCAUAAGUGUGCUAGAGCAUAGUACCUCCACCCUGAGACCGAAAUGUGAUUUUUCUUGUGAAUUUCACUUGUCUUGGAGUGGGGAACAU
Pararge aegeria (speckled wood butterfly) is the source of this 135-nucleotide small nucleolar RNA. RefSeq annotates it as small nucleolar RNA SNORA53. The transcript has a single exon. The record is from RefSeq and is a predicted model, not a curated record. Lineage: Eukaryota; Metazoa; Arthropoda; Insecta; Lepidoptera; Nymphalidae.